This 148-nucleotide signal recognition particle RNA is filed under the name Pan paniscus (pygmy chimpanzee). RNAcentral describes it as "Metazoan signal recognition particle RNA". It matches the Rfam family "Metazoan signal recognition particle RNA". Rfam says of the family: The signal recognition particle (SRP) is a universally conserved ribonucleoprotein. RNAcentral also lists the same sequence under 1 other name. Lineage: Eukaryota; Metazoa; Chordata; Mammalia; Primates; Hominidae. The record is from Rfam by way of RNAcentral.
GCCGGGCAUGGUGGCGCAUGCCUGUAGUCCCAGCUACUUGGGAGGCUGAGGCAGGAGAAUCACUUGAACCCAGGAGGCUGAGGUUGCAGUGAGCCGAGAUUGUGCCACUGCACUCCAGUCUGGGCGACAGAGUGAGACUCCGUCUCAA